CAAUAGCGUAUAUUAAAGUUGUUGCGGGUUAAAAGCUCGUAGUUGGAUUUCUGCUGAGGACGACCGGUCCGCCCUCUGGGUGAGUAUCUGGCUCGGCCUUGGCAUCUUCUUGGAGAACGCAACUGCACUUGAUUGUGUGGUGCGGUAUCCAGGACUUUUACUUUGAGGAAAUUAGAAUGUUUCAAGCAGGCGCACGCCUUGAAUACAUUAGCAUGGAAUAAUAAGAUAGGACCUUGGUUCUAUUUUGUUGGUUUCUAAAGCUGAGGUAAUGAUUAAUAGGGAUCGUUGGGGCAUUCGUAUGUAACUGUCAGAGGUGAAAUUCUUAGAUUUGUUAAAGACGGACUACUGCGAAAGCAGUUGCCAAGGAUGUUUUCAUUGAUCAAGAACGAAAGUUAGGGGAUCGAAGACGAUCAGAUACCGU
Molecule: ribosomal RNA, 421 nt
Filed under: uncultured eukaryote
Lineage: Eukaryota
Description: SSU rRNA
Rfam family: Eukaryotic small subunit ribosomal RNA
Source: RNAcentral